ACGCUGGCGGCAGGCCUAACACAUGCAAGUCGAGCGGUAACACAGAGAGCUUGCUCUCGGGUGACGAGCGGCGGACGGGUGAGUAAUGUCUGGGAAACUGCCUGAUGGAGGGGGAUAACUACUGGAAACGGUAGCUAAUACCGCAUAACGUCGCAAGACCAAAGUGGGGGACCUUCGGGCCUCAUGCCAUCAGAUGUGCCCAGAUGGGAUUAGCUAGUAGGUGGGGUAAUGGCUCACCUAGGCGACGAUCCCUAGCUGGUCUGAGAGGAUGACCAGCCACACUGGAACUGAGACACGGUCCAGACUCCUACGGGAGGCAGCAGUGGGGAAUAUUGCACAAUGGGCGCAAGCCUGAUGCAGCCAUGCCGCGUGUAUGAAGAAGGCCUUCGGGUUGUAAAGUACUUUCAGCGAGGAGGAAGGCAUUAAGGUUAAUAACCUUGGUGAUUGACGUUACUCGCAGAAGAAGCACCGGCUAACUCCGUGCCAGCCGCCGCGGUAAUU
Molecule: ribosomal RNA, 501 nt
Filed under: Klebsiella aerogenes
Lineage: Bacteria; Pseudomonadati; Pseudomonadota; Gammaproteobacteria; Enterobacterales; Enterobacteriaceae
Description: bacterial SSU rRNA
Rfam family: Bacterial small subunit ribosomal RNA
Source: RNAcentral